This 1145-nucleotide long non-coding RNA is filed under the name Homo sapiens (human). RNAcentral's name for it is "HSALNT0393208". The record is from RNAcentral. Lineage: Eukaryota; Metazoa; Chordata; Mammalia; Primates; Hominidae.
AUUUUAUUGAGGAUUUUUGCAUCAAUGUUCAUCAGGGAUAUUGGUCUAAAAUUCUCUUUUUUUUGUUGUGUCUCUGCCUGGCUUUGGUAUCAGGAUGAUGCUGGCCUCAUAAAAUGAGUUAGGGAGGAUUCCCUCUUUUUCUAUUGAUUGGAAUAGUUUCAGAACGAAUGGUACCAGUUCCUCCUUAUACCUCUGGAAGAAUUCGGCUGUAAAUCCAUCUGGUCCUGGACUCUUUUUGGUUGAGUCCCUGUGAGACGGUUUCACAGAAGGAUGUGUAUUUACCCAAAGCUACACAUCAAAAAGAAUUCGAUACCUUAAGUGGAAAAUUAGAAGAGUCUCCUGUUAAAGAUGGUCUUCUGAAGCCUACCUGUGGAAGGAAAGUUUCUCUUCCAAAUAAAGCCUUAGAAUUAAAGGACAGAGAAACAUUCAAAGCAGAGUCUCCUGAUAAAGAUGGUCUUCUGAAGCCUACCUGUGGAAGGAAAGUUUCUCUUCCAAAUAAAGCCUUAGAAUUAAAGGACAGAGAAACACUCAAAGCAGAGUCUCCUGAUAAUGAUGGUCUUCUGAAGCCUACCUGUGGAAGGAAAGUUUCUCUUCCAAAUAAAGCUUUAGAAUUGAAGGACAGAGAAACAUUCAAAGCAGCUCAGAUGUUCCCAUCAGAAUCCAAACAAAAGGAUGAUGAAGAAAAUUCUUGGGAUUUUGAGAGUUUCCUUGAGACUCUCUUACAGAAUGAUGUGUGUUUACCCAAGGCUACACAUCAAAAAGAAUUCGAUACCUUAAGUGGAAAAUUAGAAGAGUCUCCUGAUAAAGAUGGUCUUCUGAAGCCUACCUGUGGAAGGAAAGUUUCUCUUCCAAAUAAAGCCUUAGAAUUAAAGGACAGAGAAACACUCAAAAGUCUCCUGAUAAAGAUGGUCUUCUGAAGCCUACCUGUGUAAGGAAAGUUUCUCUUCCAAAUAAAGCCUUAGAAUUAAAGGACAGAGAAACAUUAAAAGCAGCUCAGAUGUUCCCAUCAGAAUCCAAACAAAAGGAUGAUGAAGAAAAUUCUUGGGAUUUUGAGAGUUUCCUUGAGGCUCUCUUACAGAAUGAUGGGUGUUUACCCAAGGCUACACAUCAAAAAGAAUUCGAUACCUUAAGUGGAAAAUUAGAAG